GCAAUUAAGAAUGACCUGUGAAUCGUUGGAUAGUGCCAUCUUGUAAGAGCGAGCAUCGCGCAACAACAUGAUGUUGUCCCGAUGUAUCGACCAAAACUAAAAAAACUCGGCGCGGCUUGCGCCAAGGAAAUGUAAAACGUGGAGCACACGCCAAGGAGAUCUUUUGCAUCUCCUAGACGUUGUAAGCCUUCCAAAAAUAUUCAUGAACAACUCUCGGCAACGGAUAUCUUGGUUCUCGCAUCGAUGAAGAACGCAGCGAAAUGCGAUACUUGGUGUGAAUUGCAGAAUCCCGUGAACCAUCGAGUUUUUGAACGCAAGUUGCGCCCGAGGCCACUCGGCCGAGGGCACGUCUGCCUGGGCGUCACGAAAACGCCACUCCCAUUCCCUAUAGAAUGGGAGUGAAAUAUGGCCCCCCGCGACUUGUUUGCGGCCGGCUGAAAUAGCAUGCCCAACAGUUGCUUCACGACACGAUCGAUGGUAGUUUAUUACACGAUCGUUUAUCGCGAUCGGACGACGUGUUCGGAAGCAUGGGCGAAUGGACCCAAUCUCCUAACGCGACCUCAGGUCAGGCGGGGCCACCCGCUGAGUUUAAGCAUAUC
RNAcentral lists this ribosomal RNA (599 nucleotides) under Dioscoreophyllum cumminsii (serendipity berry). RNAcentral describes it as "eukaryotic LSU rRNA". The stretch from base 209 to 364 matches the Rfam family "5.8S ribosomal RNA". The record is from RNAcentral. Lineage: Eukaryota; Viridiplantae; Streptophyta; Magnoliopsida; Ranunculales; Menispermaceae.